GUGCUCACUUCAGUAGCACAUAUACUAAAAUUGGAACAAUAAAGAGAAGAUUAUCAUGGACCCUACACAGGAAUGACACGUAAAUUUGUGAAGUGUUCCAUAUUAAA
RNAcentral lists this small nuclear RNA (107 nucleotides) under Myotis brandtii (Brandt's bat). The record is from RNAcentral. Lineage: Eukaryota; Metazoa; Chordata; Mammalia; Chiroptera; Vespertilionidae.